RNAcentral lists this ribosomal RNA (600 nucleotides) under uncultured archaeon. Its description in RNAcentral is "bacterial SSU rRNA". It matches the Rfam family "Archaeal small subunit ribosomal RNA", at positions 82 to 681 of the family's 1478-position model. The record is from RNAcentral.
CGCACUGCUCAGUAACACGUGGACAACCUGCCCUGAGGACUGGAAUAAUCCCGGGAAACUGGGGGUAAUUCCAGAUAUGUCAGAACUCCUGGAAUGGGUUCUGGCAGAAAGGCUCCGGCGCCUCAGGAUGGGUCUGCGGCCUAUCAGGGUAGUAGUGGGUGUAACGUACCUACUAGCCUACGACGGGUACGGGUUGUGAGAGCAAGAGCCCGGAGAUGGAUUCUGAGACAUGAAUCCAGGCCCUACGGGGUGCAGCAGGCGCGAAAACUUUACAAUGCGGGCAACCGCGAUAAGGGGACCUCGAGUGCUGGGUUACAAACCUGGCUGUUGGGCUGCCUAAAAAGCAGUCUAUAGCAAGGGCCGGGCAAGACCGGUGCCAGCCGCCGCGGUAACACCGGCGGCUCGAGUGGUAACCGCUAUUAUUGGGUCUAAAGGGUCUGUAGCCGGCCGACUAAGUCUCUUGGGAAAUCUGGCAUCUCAAGUGUCAGGCUGCCAGGGGAUACUGGUCGGCUUGGGACCGGGAGAGGUGAGAGGUACCUCGGGGGUAGGGGUGAAAUCUUGUAAUCCUCGAGGGACCACCAGUGGCGAAGGCGUCUCACC